GGACGAACGCUGGCGGCGUGCUUAACACAUGCAAGUCGAACGGUGAAGCCCAGCUUGCUGGGUGGAUCAGUGGCGAACGGGUGAGUAACACGUGAGCAACCUGCCCUCCACUUCGGGAUAAGCCUUGGAAACGGGGUCUAAUACCGGAUAUGAGCGCCUGCCGCAUGGUGGGUGUUGGAAAGUUUUUCGGUGGGGGAUGGGCUCGCGGCCUAUCAGCUUGUUGGUGGGGUGAUGGCCUACCAAGGCUUCGACGGGUAGCCGGCCUGAGAGGGCGACCGGCCACACUGGGACUGAGACACGGCCCAGACUCCUACGGGAGGCAGCAGUGGGGAAUAUUGCACAAUGGGCGAAAGCCUGAUGCAGCGACGCCGCGUGAGGGAUGACGGCCUUCGGGUUGUAAACCUCUUUCAGCAGGGAAGAAGGCCUUCGGGUGGACGGUACCUGCAGAAGAAGCGCCGGCUAACUACGUGCCAGCAGCCGCGGUAAUACGUAGGGCGCAAGCGUUGUCCGGAAUUAUUGGGCGUAAAGAGCUCGUAGGCGGUUUGUCGCGUCUGGUGUGAAAACCUCAGGCUCAACCUGGGGGCGUGCAUCGGGUACGGGCAGACUAGAGUGCGGUAGGGGAGACUGGAAUUCCUGGUGUAGCGGUGGAAUGCGCAGAUAUCAGGAGGAACACCGAUGGCGAAGGCAGGUCUCUGGGCCGCAACUGACGCUGAGGAGCGAAAGCAUGGGGAGCGAACAGGAUUAGAUACCCUGGUAGUCCAUGCCGUAAACGUUGGGCACUAGGUGUGGGACUCAUUCCACGAGUUCCGUGCCGCAGCUAACGCAUUAAGUGCCCCGCCUGGGGAGUACGGCCGCAAGGCUAAAACUCAAAGGAAUUGACGGGGGCCCGCACAAGCGGCGGAGCAUGCGGAUUAAUUCGAUGCAACGCGAAGAACCUUACCAAGGCUUGACAUGCACCGGACGCUGCCAGAGAUGGUGGUUCCGCAAGGUCGGUGCACAGGUGGUGCAUGGUUGUCGUCAGCUCG
This 1025-nucleotide ribosomal RNA is filed under the name Isoptericola haloaureus. RNAcentral's name for it is "bacterial SSU rRNA". It matches the Rfam family "Bacterial small subunit ribosomal RNA", at positions 27 to 1062 of the family's 1533-position model. The record is from RNAcentral. Lineage: Bacteria; Bacillati; Actinomycetota; Actinomycetes; Micrococcales; Promicromonosporaceae.